GGAGCCGGAGCCGGAGCCUGAGUCGGAGCCGGCGGGGAGGAAGAGGCGGCGGCGGCGGCGGCGACGACGGAGGUUUAAACAGACCACAGGUCGGGUCGGGCCGAGCAAGCAGACUCUGAGGAAGAGGAGGAGGAGCGUCGGUAACGGCGGCGGCGGAGGCGGCGGCCCCCCACCCCAGCUAUGAGGAGGAGGGCGGCGGCAGCGGCGGGGGUGGGGGCUGCGGGGCCCCACUGGUGAUCGCCCGGACCCUGAGAACCUGAAAUCCAGAGCGUCUGGAGCUGGGGAAUGUUCACCUGUAGCUGCUUAGUGGAGGAAAAGACCUGACUUUGGGGCGACAGACCUCUUUCUCACUGGGGCAACUGCUGCUGGGAGCCAAAGGAUCUAAGCUGGAAGGAACCUUCCCACAGAAUGCCUUCUCCACCAAAGAGCGACCUACAGGCUACAAAGAUGAGAGCCGCACGAGGACUUUGGAAACCACUAACAUUUCAGUAGCUGGGAGUUUGUGGGUGACGUUUUCCCCUUCACCCCACCCACUGCCUCUGCCUUGGGCCGCGAUGCUGUAUUGAUUGCAGAAGAACCACACUUUGACCUUGAGUUUCGGUGGAUUGGGGUUUUGUAUGGCAGCAGCGUAACCGUGGAGA
RNAcentral lists this long non-coding RNA (641 nucleotides) under Vombatus ursinus (common wombat). RNAcentral describes it as "lncRNA (ENSVURG00010015598.1)". Lineage: Eukaryota; Metazoa; Chordata; Mammalia; Diprotodontia; Vombatidae. The record is from RNAcentral.